Oreochromis aureus is the source of this 673-nucleotide long non-coding RNA. RefSeq lists it as uncharacterized. Lineage: Eukaryota; Metazoa; Chordata; Actinopteri; Cichliformes; Cichlidae. The transcript has 5 exons. The record is from RefSeq and is a predicted model, not a curated record.
AAGUGUUGUGAAUCUCGCUGAGACAGCAGACCACUGAGAGCCUCAGAUUAACCAAUCAGUCAGAUCGCUGUCUCCACUUCUCUUCCGUUCCCUUUGUUUUUUAAGUACCCCAUAUAUGUUAGCCAUCACAUUAGCUUGUUAGCCAUCACAUUAGCAAACUGCUUCGGAGCACAGCUGCCGGAGUCGCGGGUUUUGUUGAAUCAGGCGUUGGCCCUGCUGGAGGAAUGCUCUGCGAUGAUGGUGGAAAGCAGCCGCCAUUCAACCCAUUUGAGAGAUUCAAAGAACUGGCUACAGUUUCUGUUCCUGUCCGAGGUUUGCAGUGGAGAGCUCAGACCACACAGGACCCCGUCCUCUCCAAACCCUGCUCAGCUCUCUGGGGGCAGUGUCCAGCUCUCUCACCUGUCUGCAGCUGCAUAAGAGGGCGGAGCGAGUGGCAGCUCUGCUGAUAGAGAGAGGCGGUCUGCAGGAAGGAGACCAUGUCGCUCUGGUGUACCCGCCAGGUAUAGACCUGAUCGCAGCCUUUUACGGCUGCCUGUACGCCGGCUGCGUUCCCAUCACAGUGCGACCGCCUCACCCUCAGAACAUCUCCACCACCCUGCCCACUGUUAAGAUGAUUGUCGAGGUGAGUCACUCGGCGUGUGUGAUGACCACCGCCGUCAUCUGUACGCUGCUG